CCCAGUUCGGACUGGAGUCUGCAACCCGACUCCACGAAGUUGGAUUCGCUAGUAAUCGCGCAUCAGCCAUGGCGCGGUGAAUACGUUCCCGGGCCUUGUACACACCGCCCGUCAAGCCAUGGGAGCCGGGGGCNCCUGAAGUCCGGGACCGCGAGGACCGGCCUAAGGCGAAACUGGUGACUGGGGCUAAGUCGUAACAAGGUAGC
Molecule: ribosomal RNA, 206 nt
Filed under: uncultured bacterium
Lineage: Bacteria
Description: partial 16S ribosomal RNA
Rfam family: Bacterial small subunit ribosomal RNA
Source: RNAcentral